AUACGGAGGGUGCAAGCGUUAUUGGGAAUCACUGGGCGUAAAGGACGCGUAGGCGGGUUGGCAAGUCAGAUGUGAAAUCCUACAGCUUAACUGUAGAACUGCAUUUGAAACUGCUAACCUAGAGUAUGGGAGGGGGAGAUGGAAUUAGUGGUGUAGGGGUAAAAUCCGUAGAUAUCACUAGGAAUACCGAAAGCGAAGGCGAUCUCCUGGAACAUAACUGACGCUAAGGCGUGAAAGCGUGGGGAGCAAACAGGAUUAGAUACCCUAGUAGUCC
This 274-nucleotide ribosomal RNA is filed under the name uncultured bacterium. RNAcentral describes it as "partial 16S ribosomal RNA". It matches the Rfam family "Bacterial small subunit ribosomal RNA", at positions 523 to 796 of the family's 1533-position model. The record is from RNAcentral.